UGGGGAAUUUUGGACAAUGGGCGAAAGCCUGAUCCAGCAAUGCCGCGUGUGUGAAGAAGGCCUUCGGGUUGUAAAGCACUUUUGUCCGGAAAGAAAUCCUUGGCUCUAAUACAGUCGGGGGAUGACGGUACCGGAAGAAUAAGCACCGGCUAACUACGUGCCAGCAGCCGCGGUAAUACGUAGGGUGCAAGCGUUAAUCGGAAUUACUGGGCGUAAAGCGUGCGCAGGCGGUUUGCUAAGACCGAUGUGAAAUCCCCGGGCUCAACCUGGGAACUGCAUUGGUGACUGGCAGGCUAGAGUAUGGCAGAGGGGGGUAGAAUUCCACGUGUAGCAGUGAAAUGCGUAGAGAUGUGGAGGAAUACCGAUGGCGAAGGCAGCCCCCUGGGCCAAUACUGACGCUCAUGCACGAAAAGCGUGGGGGAGCAAACAGGAUUAGAUACCCUGGUAGUCCACGCCCUAAACGAUGUCAACUAGUUGUUGGGGAUUCAUUUCCUUAGUAACGUAGCUAACGCGUGAAGUUGACCGCCCGGGGAGUACGGUCGCAAGAUUAAAACUUAAAUGAAUUGACGGGGU
RNAcentral lists this ribosomal RNA (573 nucleotides) under uncultured bacterium. RNAcentral's name for it is "partial 16S ribosomal RNA". It matches the Rfam family "Bacterial small subunit ribosomal RNA", at positions 355 to 919 of the family's 1533-position model. The record is from RNAcentral.